Molecule: ribosomal RNA, 435 nt
Filed under: uncultured Eubacterium sp.
Lineage: Bacteria; Bacillati; Bacillota; Clostridia; Eubacteriales; Eubacteriaceae
Description: bacterial SSU rRNA
Rfam family: Bacterial small subunit ribosomal RNA
Source: RNAcentral
AACGCGAAGAACCUUACCAAAUCUUGACAUCCCGAUGACAGGCUGUGUAAUGCAGCUUCUCUUCGGAGCAUCGGUGACAGGUGGUGCAUGGUUGUCGUCAGCUCGUGUCGUGAGAUGUUGGGUUAAGUCCCGCAACGAGCGCAACCCUUGUCUUUAGUAGCCAGCAUUUAGGAUGGGCACUCUAGAGAGACUGCCAGGGAUAACCUGGAGGAAGGUGGGGAUGACGUCAAAUCAUCAUGCCCCUUAUGAUUUGGGCUACACACGUGCUACAAUGGCGUAAACAAAGAGAAGCAAAGGAGUGAUCCGGAGCAAAUCUCAAAAAUAACGUCUCAGUUCGGAUUGUAGUCUGCAACUCGACUACAUGAAGCUGGAAUCGCUAGUAAUCGCGCAUCAGCCAUGGCGCGGUGAAUACGUUCCCGGGUCUUGUACACACGC